This 92-nucleotide small RNA is filed under the name Homo sapiens (human). Its description in RNAcentral is "nc054 non-coding RNA". The record is from RNAcentral. Lineage: Eukaryota; Metazoa; Chordata; Mammalia; Primates; Hominidae.
UAUUAAAGUAAUCUCUUUGGAAGAAAUAUUUCAGAUCUGUAUGAAAUACCAAAUAAAAUAGAUUAUCUUAAAAGUGAACAGUAAUAUUAAAA